CCCAACCCUCUGGGAUUUCUCACUAUGCAUUCUAGCCUUCUCAUGGAAUGUAUGGUCUGAAUCAAAUUUUGGGAUUUCAUUGUAUUUUCUUGUCUUAUUCUCAAAUUAUUUCUCAUUUUAUUAUUAUAUAAUUUUUAAAGCUGCUGGUUAAUUUUUUAAAAAAUUAUUACAGUGUGGGAGGAGAGGCCCUGUUUUGUCCUCUCCCUCAGCCUCAGCAUGUACCUGUAUUUGGGCACCGGAUUGGCCAGGCUUCCAUCUGAGCUUCUAGCUGAAUACAAGCACUUCUAACAGGCAGUUAGAUGACAUAUUUUCCUGUUGCAAAAGGAAAUUGGUUUGGACACACUCUGUAAUUGUGCAUUUUCAAGUUAGAACUCCAUGCUGUUUGUUAAAAGCCCCCUUUGGGUUAAUUACCAAGCGCCUAAAUGAUAUUUGAUUAUUUUGGAAGCAAAAUAGGCAUUAGGAGAGUGCUUCCGUGCCUGGAGACCAGUUGAGUGACGUUCCGUUCUCUCAUUUUGCUUUUGCUCUCGACACAUCCUGAACCACAUCUGCCUUCAAACAAAUCAUCACUGCGAUACAGCAGAGAGCAGCACGGAACCCCCUUCCCAAGGCCAAACUUUAGGUCUUUGAUGUACGUCAAGACAGCCGACACUCACAUAACUCGCUUCUGCCCAUUUGUCCCGUCUCUGAUACCUUCCCCCACGCGCUCGCACACUGGAGAUAGUGACAGAAUGGAACAGAGAGUGGCUCCUGCCGCCUGCGUUGGCGAUAUCACCGGACACUUUCCAUUUCGCCCCCUCCCUCUAUGCUUGUGCACAGCUGUUGCCCAUUUCCCCCCGAGCUGCCGUGUCUCCGUUUUGACCUGUGCUCUGCAGCCGGGAGAAAUCUGCAGGGGCAACUUGGUGAGUGCUGCGAACCUCUUGAGAAUGAAAGAUGCCAUAGCAGCGAAAUCCUGGAAUUCAGUUUAUGAAAUGGCCUGAAGACUCUCCAUGACGCUGGGCCCGGGACGUCUGCCCUCUAAGCCUCGGAGGCAGAUGGAGAUGUGGGGACACCCAGGAGGAAACGUCCGCUUGUUUUCCGAGUUAGUGUAGCUCACUGAUGACGUCGUAAGAUCGCUAUCACCUAGGCGAUGGAACAUGUUGCUAUGGGAACCUCAGAUCUGUCUGAUAACUGUGCUUCAAAAUGUUGACAGUUGGAAAAGCCUCCUUUUUCUGUACAGCAAGCCAGUAGGGGCGUGUACACAGAGGGUGGGUUUGUUUAAAAAGUUAGCACUUAAAGUUUACUAAUACAAACUAUUUGGAGACACAUUUGUGAAACUGAAAACAUUUAGAAUAUUGACAUUUCUUGGAGAAGUAUUACCAUCUAGCUGCACUGAAGGAAGCCCUCGUGUGCGAGACUCUCAUGGGCCUAGUGAAGUCAGAGUUAUAAGAAAGAUAUAAAAUCUCCUCGCAAGGUGAAGAGCACAGACAUCUCACAUGUCACAUCUCGUUGGAGUCUUGUGUUGAACUUUGGCCACGGACGAGUGUUUUACACACAGACUCUUAAUGUGAUUCUCUGCCCUCACAUUUUCCAUCUCCUGAGAAUGUUGGUUUCACACUAUAAGUGAUAUUGAAUCAGGACAGCGUUGUCUCAUGAAACCAUGACCUCAGCCCUAUGUCAUAUCCCCCCCCCGCAUGCUGACAUAGUCGCACAUAUAUGUGUGUGAAUGUCAAUACAUACAUUUGUAAACACACAUAAAGUCACACAAACACCAAACUGGCAAACGCUGGGCCAUGGCUCCUAGCAGAAAUACAGGGUUAGUUUCCCGCAAACCUCUCUUCACAGUUUUGUCCGCUGAUAAAUGUAAAACCUUAUUUUAUGUGUGUUUCUGAUUAAAAACACCUUACUUUUU
Molecule: long non-coding RNA, 1888 nt
Organism: Leopardus geoffroyi (Geoffroy's cat)
Lineage: Eukaryota; Metazoa; Chordata; Mammalia; Carnivora; Felidae
Exons: 2
Source: RefSeq, a predicted model, not a curated record